This 468-nucleotide ribosomal RNA is filed under the name uncultured bacterium. Its description in RNAcentral is "partial 16S ribosomal RNA". It matches the Rfam family "Bacterial small subunit ribosomal RNA", at positions 28 to 507 of the family's 1533-position model. The record is from RNAcentral.
GACGAACGCUGGCGGCGUGCUUAACACAUGCAAGUCGAACGGAAAGGCCCUGCUUUUGUGGGGUGUUCGAGUGGCGAACGGGUGAGUAACACGUGAGUAACCUGCCCUUGACUUUGGGAUAACUUCAGGAAACUGGGGCUAAUACCGGAUAGGAGCUCCUGCUGCAUGGUGGGGGUUGGAAAGUUCCGGCGGUUGGGGAUGUACUCGGGGCUAAUUAGCUUGUUGGGGGGGGAGUCGCAUACCAAGGGUUAGGAGGAUAGCCGACCUGGGAGGGGGGACGGGCACCAUACGACUGAGGGACGGCCCAGUCUGCAACAGGAGGCAGCGGGGGAGAAUAUUGCACAGUGAGGGCGAGCGUGAGAAGAAGGUGCUGCGAGCGGGAUGAACGCCUUCGGGUUAUAAACCGCUUUCGCCUGUGACGAAGCGUGAGUGACGGUACUAAGUAAAGAAGCACCGGCUAACUACGUG